UUGGAGGGCAAGUCUGGUGCCAGCAGCCGCGGUAAUUCCAGCUCCAAUAGCGUAUAUUAAAGUUGUUGCAGUUAAAAAGCUCGUAGUUGAACUUCGGGGUCAGCAGGUUGGUCGUGCCAAUGGUAUGCACUGGCCUUGCUGAUUCCUCCCUCUUGAUGAGCCGUAAUGUCAUUAAUUUGGUGUUGCGGGGAAUCAGGACUGUUACUUUGAAAAAAUUAGAGUGUUUAAAGCAGGCAAGCGCUUGAAUACAUUAGCAUGGAAUAAUGAAAUAGGACGUUUGAUCCUAUUUUGUUGGUUUCUAGGAUUGACGUAAUGAUUAAUAGGGAUAGUUGGGGGCAUUAGUAUUCAAUUGUCAGAGGUGAAAUUCUUGGAUUUAUUGAAGACUAACUACUGCGAAAGCAUUUGCCAAGGAUGUUUUCAUUAAUCAAGAACGAAAGUUAGGGGAUCGAAGACGAUCAGAUACCGUCGUAGUCUUAACCAUAAACUAUGCCGACUAGGGAUCGGAUGAUGUUAAUUUUUUAAUGACUCAUUCGGCGCCUUACGGGAAAC
RNAcentral lists this ribosomal RNA (549 nucleotides) under uncultured Glomus. Its description in RNAcentral is "SSU rRNA". It matches the Rfam family "Eukaryotic small subunit ribosomal RNA", at positions 548 to 1098 of the family's 1831-position model. The record is from RNAcentral. Lineage: Eukaryota; Fungi; Glomeromycota; Glomeromycetes; Glomerales; Glomeraceae.